CUCCCACCUUCCUGUUCUUGAAAGCACAGGACAUCUGUGGGAGAAAUAUCUCUGGAAGCCUUGAUGGAGAGUACCAACCAGUCUUCAUGUGAAGACACUCUGCGUUCCUCAGCACUUACCCGUGAUCUGCAUCCUUGACAGAUUAAUCUUAAUGUUACAAAUGCCUGCAUAGUUGAUGCCCUCAGCCAGGACCUUGCAGCUUGAGAGAUGUGUCCCCAGACCCCCCUAACCCAGCUGAGGAUGGAGGGAGCAGCCUGGUACACCCCAAGUACACUUCUCCUCCCAGUUAGGAAGACAUUAUUGCUGCCAGAGUACACGCUGUCCAUUCUUUAACCAGACAAGACUGGAUAAGAAAGGUAUAUGGAUGGUUUAUACAGGCAAGACAAGGGACAAAAAUACUGACUAAUCAUCUCCUUGCGGAGAUGCCAGUGGAAGUGAUUGAGACAAAGGGGCGUAGCAUCAUCUUGAUGCUGAAGAGCUUUCAGAGGAGUAUCUCCAGGAAGUGGCAGGUGGCACCACUCAGGAGAUGACUUUGAUGGCCCCACGUCCUCUCUGUUUCAUUACCCAGGCAGGAGGUGGGACUGCUGUUACACCUUGUUCCCAGCUGUUUUCUGCUCCCAAGGCUGUGCCACCCAUCUCGUUGCUGUGGCUUUCUCUUGUGGGGCCUGGGGACAGAUGCAGAAGCCAGGUGACACGGAUGCUUUGCUGCCAGCACGGGGCCUGAGGCUGUAUCCUGGUGGAGCCUGGGCAGGGGCUGAUUAGCUCAGGAGAGAUGGGAUGGGACAGGGUCUGCCCUAAUGCUGAAGGCCCAGCUUGAACCUCUGGGGGCGGGAGACCCUGUGUUGACAGCCAGAAGUCAGAGCACGUUGCUUCCUUCUGCUGUGGUGUCUCUGCCAUCUGCAAAUCCCUCCAGCAGCGGCACCCUGCCUCUGCCUUGUUCCCACUUUGUUUAGGCUAAAGCCAGUGGGUCUGUCUUCAAAGCAAAGUGCGGCUUUCCCUGUGGAAAAAUCUCACUCCUGACUUUUGCUCUGUCCCCACAUCAAGCCAGCUUUCAGUGCACUGCCUGUAAGCAACUGUUAUUUUUUGUGUUUGUCCUGCAGUGAGCCAUAGCGUUCUGUGUCACCAUACCUCUAGACAAGGCUGUGAAAGCAGUUGAGGACUUUUCCAACAACUGAUGCCUGCUGCUGCUGCUCACAGCCAGCACAAAGCCUUCCCACUGCCAGGCCUGCCUGCUCUGGGAUGCUGUGUUUAUUUCUGGGGUUAGAGGGGAAGGGGGGGAACUGUAUCUGGGUAUUUUAAUUAGAUAAUAAUAAUGGAAACAAGUGGCACUAUGGCCACUUCCUAAACAGAGACAUCUGUUUGUAGAGUCCUGGCCCUAUUGGAGAGCACUAGGUAGGACUCAUCAGGCCAAGUCGUCGCUGCAGCUGUGCUGGGCAGCCCUGGAGCCCACUGGCUCCUCACAGGGGUGCUGGAGCACACUGGGGGCAUCGCUCCCCUCCCACUGCCCGUGCACUGCUGGAUGUGGCACAGCACUGCUACAUACAAAACCCUACUGAAGUUAUUUGCCUCAGUCUCACACAUCUGAGUCUUGUAACUUUGCUGCUGGUUCAUUUUCAGGAGGGACAGGAUAUAUUAUGGAGCUAAAUUCUCACGGGCAAAUAAUAAGUCCUAGCACCUGCUGGCUGGAACCCAC
RNAcentral lists this long non-coding RNA (1693 nucleotides) under Gallus gallus (chicken). RNAcentral describes it as "long non-coding RNA NONGGAT007770". The record is from RNAcentral. Lineage: Eukaryota; Metazoa; Chordata; Aves; Galliformes; Phasianidae.